UACAGAGGGUGCGAGCGUUACUCGGAAUCACUGGGCGUAAAGCGCACGUAGGCGGAUUGUUAAGUCAGGGGUGAAAUCCUGGAGCUCAACUCCAGAACUGCCUUUGAUACUGGCGAUCUCGAGUCCGGGAGAGGUGAGUGGAACUGCGAGUGUAGAGGUGAAAUUCGUAGAUAUUCGCAAGAACACCAGUGGCGAAGGCGGCUCACUGGCCCGGUACUGACGCUGAGGUGCGAAAGCGUGGGGAGCAAACAGG
Molecule: ribosomal RNA, 253 nt
Filed under: uncultured bacterium
Lineage: Bacteria
Description: partial 16S ribosomal RNA
Rfam family: Bacterial small subunit ribosomal RNA
Source: RNAcentral